Molecule: long non-coding RNA, 1561 nt
Organism: Cyprinodon tularosa
Lineage: Eukaryota; Metazoa; Chordata; Actinopteri; Cyprinodontiformes; Cyprinodontidae
Exons: 3
Source: RefSeq, a predicted model, not a curated record
CAAAAAAAAAAAAAAUCAAGGUUUUAAAUUAGGGAACACUUGUUUAAGGAAAGCUAAAAGCAAUAUACGAGAUUCAACAACUGAUUUUAUAAUUAUUAUUUGAAUUUUCACUUUAGAUCCUCAGAGGUUUCUACGGCGACCAACACUGCCUAGCAACAGGGCGAUAAAGCUAUUUGCAGGGUGUUGAAGCUCCCUAGUCUUCACACCUGAGAUCUGUGACAUUCUUCAUCCAGCAGCAGCGCCAGGAUGGUCGCACCUCAUCCUCACCAACAGUUAGUGGGAUAAAAACUUGAAAACUAGAAACGAGCUGCCUCCUCUUCUCCUGCUUGAAUCUCGAAAUUGAACCUUUUAUUAUUUUGCAAUAAUUUUAAUUUGGUCAUUAUAGAAAAGACUUCCCAUGAUGCAUCUUUAUCUAACAAAUGAAAAUACAAAUAAUUAACCUGUCUAGAAAAGGUAUAGCAUGAAUGAGGAAGCGGCAGCUGCUGCACUUCAGGAAAUCGAUCAUCUGUUCACACAAUCUCUUUACCUGAAACACUCAGACUAAGCUGGGUGGAGAGAAGCGUUGUUAAAAAUUAAAAGGUAAAGAUCUGGUCAGAAUAAGAAUGGAAAUCACUUUAAGGCUGCAACUACGAUCCUAAUAAUGAGGGAUAAACAUGUUUCUGUCUCUGCAGAGGCUUUUUACAAAAACAUAAAGAAAUUUAUGCAGAUUUAUAAAUGAGCCUUCAGGCAGAAACCUUCUAAACCAACUGCUGGUCACCAUUUUCAUUUCUUAUCCUCGGCAGGUUCUGCCAACUUAAGCUACUUGAUGGUCAAAGUCCGAUCAAACCGGCCCUGAAAGGCCAGACGAGGACACACAGAGUCCGCUCGGUGUAAAUCCUGUAGAUAUGUGCCACGGCUGUCUGCAUGUGAGACAACCAGAGGAGCGUCCUCGUCCUGGCUGGACAUGUCCUGGAUAGCUGCAGACAUGACCACUGAUUCCAGUAAAAAAUCGGAUUAUGGUUCCAGCAUAGCGAUGUCAGGUGAUCCUGUUUAUGGGAGUGACUGUCACUAUCACGUAUUCUAAUGCUGCAUGUUUCAAUUUAAAUGUUGAGGUCACAUGCUGCAGCCUUUCGAUAACCAGUAUAUUGCAGUAAAAUUGUUUUUUUUAAUGAUUUCCUGAUGCAUUUUUGUGUAGAAUUUUUAAUUAAAAUUCUCACCACUUCAGGCAGGAGCUUGGUGGCCAGGUCAUGGAUGGCUUUUCCCAUGAUGCACAUGGAAGACAGGAUGAAGAUCACGCCCAGGAUCACACAGGCUCUGUGAAAGAGAGGGAAACAAACCUUACUUUGAUGCUCUAAGCCAAGGGUUUCCAUCCCUCCUCCAUAGGAUAUGAUCUCAUCUGUUGUCUCUCCUGCAAUUACUUGAUACUCCUCAGAGACCGUGACACAUCUCCACUCCUGGGUGUGUGAAUCGAGUACUUGCUGCUCUGGAAGCAGCACAGACAGCUUAGCUUUUUAUCCGAAAUGAAGUUCAAGGUUUCAGGAUUUUCAUUGCUCUUUAUGUUUAGACAUAUAUGCAUAGACAG